Molecule: long non-coding RNA, 155 nt
Organism: Calypte anna (Anna's hummingbird)
Lineage: Eukaryota; Metazoa; Chordata; Aves; Apodiformes; Trochilidae
Exons: 2
Source: RefSeq, a predicted model, not a curated record
CCGCCCCUCGCCUCCGACCGCCCCGCCGGAGAGAGGCCGCCCCGCCGGGACAGCGACGGGGAUUUCGGCUUUCAUCGUUGCAGAUGUGACACUGAGGACUUUUUCUCUCACUGGAGAUUUCAGUAGCUGGGCGUGUAUGGGCUGGUGACAUUAUC